GAUAUUGGACAAUGGGGGGAACCCUGAUCCAGCGACGCCGCGUGAGUGAAGAAGUAUUUCGGUAUGUAAAGCUCUAUCAGCAGGGAAGAAAGAAGACGGUACCUGACCAAGAAGCCCCGGCUAACUACGUGCCAGCAGCCGCGGUAAUACGUAGGGGGCAAGCGUUAUCCGGAUUUACUGGGUGUAAAGGGGGCGUAGACGGCAUAGCAAGUCUGAAGUGAAAGGCAUGGGCUCAACCCGUGGACUGCUUUGGAAACUGUUAAGCUGGAGUGCAGGAGAGGUAAGUGGAAUUCCUAGUGUAGCGGUGAAAUGCGUAGAUAUUAGGAGGAACACCAGUGGCGAAGGCGGCUUACUGGACUGUAACUGACGUUGAGGCUCGAAAGCGUGGGGAGCAAA
RNAcentral lists this ribosomal RNA (396 nucleotides) under uncultured bacterium. RNAcentral describes it as "bacterial SSU rRNA". It matches the Rfam family "Bacterial small subunit ribosomal RNA", at positions 359 to 772 of the family's 1533-position model. The record is from RNAcentral.